Molecule: ribosomal RNA, 425 nt
Filed under: uncultured bacterium
Lineage: Bacteria
Description: bacterial SSU rRNA
Rfam family: Bacterial small subunit ribosomal RNA
Source: RNAcentral
GGGGAAUUUUGGACAAUGGGCGAAAGCCUGAUCCAGCAAUGCCGCGUGCAGGAUGAAGGCCUUCGGGUUGUAAACUGCUUUUGUACGGAACGAAAAAGCUUCUCCUAAUACGAGAGGCCCAUGACGGUACCGUAAGAAUAAGCACCGGCUAACUACGUGCCAGCAGCCGCGGUAAUACGUAGGGUGCGAGCGUUAAUCGGAAUUACUGGGCGUAAAGCGUGCGCAGGCGGUUAUGUAAGACAGAUGUGAAAUCCCCGGGCUCAACCUGGGAACUGCAUUUGUGACUGCAUGGCUAGAGUACGGUAGAGGGGGAUGGAAUUCCGCGUGUAGCAGUGAAAUGCGUAGAUAUGCGGAGGAACACCGAUGGCGAAGGCAAUCCCCUGGACCUGUACUGACGCUCAUGCACGAAAGCGUGGGGAGCAAAC